UCGAGCGGAUGAGUGGAGCUUGCUCCCUGAUUCAGCGGCGGACGGGUGAGUAAUGCCUAGGAAUCUGCCUGGUAGUGGGGGACAACGUUUCGAAAGGAACGCUAAUACCGCAUACGUCCUACGGGAGAAAGUGGGGGAUCUUCGGACCUCACGCUAUCAGAUGAGCCUAGGUCGGAUUAGCUAGUUGGUGAGGUAAAGGCUCACCAAGGCGACGAUCCGUAACUGGUCUGAGAGGAUGAUCAGUCACACUGGAACUGAGACACGGUCCAGACUCCUACGGGAGGCAGCAGUGGGGAAUAUUGGACAAUGGGCGAAAGCCUGAUCCAGCCAUGCCGCGUGUGUGAAGAAGGUCUUCGGAUUGUAAAGCACUUUAAGUUGGGAGGAAGGGCAGUAAGUUAAUACCUUGCUGUUUUGACGUUACCAACAGAAUAAGCACCGGCUAACUUCGUGCCAGCAGCCGCGGUAAUACGAAGGGUGCAAGCGUUAAUCGGAAUUACUGGGCGUAAAGCGCGCGUAGGUGGUUCGUUAAGUUGGAUGUGAAAAGCCCCGGGCUCAACCUGGGAACUGCAUCCAAAACUGGCGAGCUAGAGUAUGGCAGA
This 599-nucleotide ribosomal RNA is filed under the name Stutzerimonas stutzeri. Its description in RNAcentral is "bacterial SSU rRNA". It matches the Rfam family "Bacterial small subunit ribosomal RNA", at positions 62 to 655 of the family's 1533-position model. Lineage: Bacteria; Pseudomonadati; Pseudomonadota; Gammaproteobacteria; Pseudomonadales; Pseudomonadaceae. The record is from RNAcentral.